CGGUUCGAGUCCGCUUACCUCCACUGAAACCUCCCUGGUAACUAAAUUUCCGGAGAAAUUUUUAGAUGUGACUUAGAAAUGUCUAUUUGAAAAGACCCCAGCUUCUUAUCAUCAUCACUUAGUUGAUAAUAUGCUGGGCUCGCAUGGAUUAAUUCCAUGAGAAUUCAGUA
RNAcentral lists this unclassified non-coding RNA (170 nucleotides) under uncultured cyanobacterium. Its description in RNAcentral is "partial 16S-23S ribosomal RNA intergenic spacer". The record is from RNAcentral. Lineage: Bacteria; Bacillati; Cyanobacteriota.